This 200-nucleotide microRNA precursor is filed under the name Dichanthelium oligosanthes. RNAcentral describes it as "MIR1435 microRNA precursor family". It matches the Rfam family "MIR1435 microRNA precursor family". Lineage: Eukaryota; Viridiplantae; Streptophyta; Magnoliopsida; Poales; Poaceae. The record is from Rfam by way of RNAcentral.
UAGGUUUGUCCUAAGUCAAACUAUCUCAAGUUUGACCGGAUUUAUGGAGAAGGGUGUCAACAUCUAUGAUAUCAAAUAGGUAUACUAUGAAAACAUAUUUCAUGAUGAAUCUAAUGAUACCUAUUUGGUGUCAUAACUAUCGAUACAUUUUGAUAUAAAUUUGGUCAAACUUAGAAUGAUUUGACUUAGGACAAAACUAA